AGGAGCAUGUGGAGGGACACUACGAGGGACAAGUGGAACUAUUUCAAGUCCUCACUUCCCUUCAGAGUAUGAAAAUAAUGCUGAUUGCACCUGGACCAUAUUGGCUGAACCAGGAGAUACAAUUGCUUUGAUUUUUACUGACUUCCAGUUGGAAGAAGGAUAUGACUUCUUAGAAAUCAGUGGAACAGAAGCACCUUCAAUAUGGAUAUCUUGGUCUGACAAAUGCAGGCAAUAGAUACGAAAUUCAAAAUAAGAAACAAGAAGUCUCCAUUCUAAUAAUCAACUAUGACACAUGUAGAGUAAACUUUAAAAUUUCACUGUCUGGGCAUAUUUUCAUUCCAAAAUAUAACAUGUAUCCCUGAUGUACAGAUCUUCACAAUAUUUUGUAAUAUGCACCAAUGAUCAAUUGUCCUUAUUUUUAAUAUUAGACAUUUCUAAGCUUGUAUACAGAUAGUUUCACAUAUCAGUCAUAAUUCUGAGACUAAAGAGCUGUUAACCAAAUAACCCCACAACUUUAUUUUUACUAAUAUAAAUGGAUCAUCUUUUUGUGUAAUUCACAAAACGAUCUUCAGUUUAAAAUUUUGAAUUUUCUUCAAACCCUCUGUAAAUUGCAGCAUGUUCUUCAAUUGCAAACUAUACUUGUGUAAUAGAAAGGAACAAUAGCAAGUAUUUGUUUAUUAUUUGCUGUCCAUUGGAACACACAAAUUCUUAUUAUGCAACUUAUGCAUUUGUCUAUGUGUCAGUUGUAGAAGUGUUUUUCCUUUGUUACCCUGAGCACAGAUAUAGUAUGAGUUUGCGCUUUCUACAUGUUUAGCAAGUAACAACUGGCUAAUUUUCCCUACUGCCAGACCACGUCAGUAAGUGCCACUACAUCUCAUAGUCAGACAUUACGAGCAAUUAAAA
This is a non-coding RNA of Meleagris gallopavo (turkey), 903 nucleotides long. Lineage: Eukaryota; Metazoa; Chordata; Aves; Galliformes; Phasianidae. The record is from RefSeq and is a predicted model, not a curated record.